GAAUUUUAUAUAUAAAAAUUAUUAAUCAUAAUUAAUUAUAAGUAUAAAUAAAGUUAUAUAUUUAGUUGGGAGGAUUAUUAAAUUAGUUGAACUUUAAUUAAAAAAGGAUAUUAAUUAAUAAAUAAUAAGAUUAUUUAAGGAAGGAUUAGAUUUUAAUUGAAUAAGAAUUAAUUACCUUAGGGAUAACAGCGUAAUAAUUUUGGAAAGAACAUAUUAAUAAAAUUGAUUGC
RNAcentral lists this ribosomal RNA (230 nucleotides) under Sericomyrmex parvulus. RNAcentral describes it as "partial large subunit ribosomal RNA". Lineage: Eukaryota; Metazoa; Arthropoda; Insecta; Hymenoptera; Formicidae. The record is from RNAcentral.